Molecule: ribosomal RNA, 558 nt
Filed under: uncultured bacterium
Lineage: Bacteria
Description: bacterial SSU rRNA
Rfam family: Bacterial small subunit ribosomal RNA
Source: RNAcentral
UGGGGAAUUUUGGACAAUGGGCGCAAGCCUGAUCCAGCCAUGCCGCGUGUCUGAAGAAGGCCUUCGGGUUGUAAAGGACUUUUGUCAGGGAAGAAAAGGAUGUGGCUAAUACCUACGUCUGAUGACGGUACCUGAAGAAUAAGCACCGGCUAACUACGUGCCAGCAGCCGCGGUAAUACGUAGGGUGCGAAGCGUUAAUCGGAAUUACUGGGCGUAAAGCGAGCGCAGACGGUUACUUAAGCAGGAUGUGAAAUCCCCGGGCUCAACCUGGGAACUGCGUUNUGAACUGGGUGACUAGAGUGUGUCAGAGGGAGGUAGAAUUCCACGUGUAGCAGUGAAAUGCGUAGAGAUGUGGAGGAAUACCGAUGGCGAAGGCAGCCUCCUGGGAUAACACUGACGUUCAUGCUCGAAAGCGUGGGUAGCAAACAGGAUUAGAUACCCUGGUAGUCCACGCCCUAAAACGAUGUCAAUUAGCUGUUGGGCAACUUGAUUGCUUAGUAGCGUAGCCUAACGCGUGAAAAUUGACCCGCCUGGGGAGUACGGUCGCAAGAUUUAAAA